RNAcentral lists this ribosomal RNA (433 nucleotides) under uncultured bacterium. Its description in RNAcentral is "partial 16S ribosomal RNA". It matches the Rfam family "Bacterial small subunit ribosomal RNA", at positions 29 to 507 of the family's 1533-position model. The record is from RNAcentral.
AACGAACGCUGGCGGCAUGCCUAACACAUGCAAGUCGAACGAGACCUUCGGGUCUAGUGGCGCACGGGUGCGUAACGCGUGGGAACCUGCCCUUAGGUUCGGAAUAACUCCCCGAAAGGGGUGCUAAUACCGGAUAAUGUCUUCGGACCAAAGAUUUAUCGCCUUUGGAUGGGCCCGCGUUGGAUUAGCUAGUUGGUAGGGUAAAAGCCUACCAAGGCGACGAUCCAUAGCUGGUCUGAGAGGAUGAUUGGCCACACUGGGACUGCGACACGGCCCAGACUCCUACGGGAGGCAGCGGUGGGGAAUAUUGGACAAUGGGCGAAAGCCUGAUCCAGCAAUGCCGCGUGAGUGAUGAAGGCCUUAGGGUUGUAAAGCUCUUUUACCCGGGAUGAUAAUGACAGUACCGGGAGAAUAAGCACCGGCUAACUCCGUG